Passer domesticus (house sparrow) is the source of this 2183-nucleotide long non-coding RNA. RefSeq lists it as uncharacterized. The transcript has 2 exons. NCBI's taxonomy places the organism in Eukaryota, Metazoa, Chordata, Aves, Passeriformes, Passeridae. The record is from RefSeq and is a predicted model, not a curated record.
GUUCAGGGGAGCACUGGGAACGUGGUUCCAGCGGUGCAGCCGCGCACAGGGCACUCCCCAAUGGCUGCCUCACAAACAGGUCCUUUUUAGGGUUUGCUGCAGCAAACUCUCCCUCCCUGGCCAUAAUCACGGCCUUUGUUUAACUCCAUUAGUUGCAGCACAUGGAUUUGUCCUCAGUUAGCCAUCAAGUCUCCAUGGAAUGCCUUUGGAACGGCUGCCGGUGUCUCCAGGUGCGGAAGCAGGCCCUGAUACCAGAGCAAAGAGCAAAAUGAAGCCAUAAAUCACCGUGACAGCUGAUCGAUGCAAACAUUGUUUCCGCCAUGAUUGCCAGCGCUCCCCGCAGACCCACUGUCCGCUCACAAUUCCCGGGAAUUACUCCCCGGCCAGGCUCCCCGGCCUCGCUCCGCGGCCGCUCCCGUGCCACAAGUAACCAUCUCAUUUCGGGGCUCCCAGCCCUCCCCCAGAACUGCAGAUAUCCCUCGUGGUGCCCGUUUGGGGCAAUCUGUUAAAGCUCGGCGCCCUUCCUCCCGCCAUCGCUCUUCCGGCCUAAAAAAAUGGGAUUUUAAACCUCCUGUUGUAUAAAAUGAUUCUGCGGGGUUGUAACAACGUCAGGCUCCAGCCCUGUCGCUUCCCCUUAACUAACUGGUGGCAAGUUGGAUGAAAUUACUUGACCCUUUAUCGAGUUCUGCUAAUGCCUUCUAAAAAAGAAAUUAAAGCCGCCCGCAGCGCGGCCCCCGGCAGCUCUCCGUGCACAUUUAAUUCCAGGGAAGAUGGAUUAAGUAGUUCCCAGGACUAAUUCACACCCAGGUGGCUCCGUGGUGCUCCUGGCUCUGGACGAGGCACCCAGGAAGGAACCACAGAGCCUGGAAAAUUCUGUGUGGGUUCUCAGCCUCAAUCCAGACUGGGAAUUCUGGAUUGAGAUGGGGCUGGAGCGGUGCUCCGAGGGAGGAGGGCUUCAGCACCCAGUGGGGAUGUGGCAAGGAGGAAAGAUGGGGUGAGUGCUCCUAGGAAAGCCUGAAUGCCAUGAAGGAGCUGUUUGCAUGGCUGAGAUAAUGUAAUAAAAGGGAUGAAAACAAUGGAGAAGUGGUUCCAGGAGAGCCUUAGGAUUGCUGAUGGAAUGUUGUCCCCGUGUGUGACUGAGAGCAGCAUGGGGACCCCAUUCUGGGACAACUCAGUGUGGUUGGACCUCUGACCUGUGACUCUGAAUGUCACAGCCCUAAACUGUCCCAGCCACCUCAGCAUCCUCAGGAAUAAUUAGGCUUGGAAAAGCCCUCUCCGACCAUCAAGUCCAACCACCCCAGCACUGCCAAGGCCACCGCUGACCCACGUCCCCAAGUGCCACCUCCCCAGGGCUGGCAAACCUCCAGGGAUUGGUCUCCACCACUGCCCUGGCACUGGACAAGCCCUUUGGUGAAGAAACUUCCCAAAUAUCCAACCUGAAGCUCCCCUGGCACAACUUGAGGCCGGUUCCUUUGUCCUGAGCACAGCAAGUGUGUCCCACGUCACUGGGGAGUGCCAGUGGAGAGGGGGAACAACAAAUGUGCACAGUGCAAAUGCAUCCAGCAGACCCCUGCCAGGGAAUAACAAGACACUUCCUAAUGUUAAGGUUUCAGAGCUGGAUCAUUUUAGACACCAACGAUGCUGUGUUAUGAGCCCUGGAACUCCCCUGUCAGGAGCAGAAGAGGCAGCACCUUCCCCUGGCUGGUUAUGGAUGAGUGAAAACUGGGGAAGCAGCAAGAGAGAUCCAAGCUCCGUUUCCUCCCAUCAAACACCAGGUGCUCCAUCCUGUCACAGCCUCUCCACUCUGCAGCAAAUCCGAGGAGUUCCGUGGAGGAAUUCCAUGUGUGACCUCUCCCAAGGAGCCAAAAUUCACCCCCCUGUGCCUGCCUCGGCCACAGCCCCCGAUUUUCCUCGCACAGGACGGGUCCAGGGAGCUCACCAGGGAUUGUGUGGGAAGGGUGAGGAGCUGCAGGGCAUCCAUCCCAUCCCAUCCCCAUCCCCCUGGGGCUGCUCCCAGCAAUCCCAGCUGGAUCAAUGUGGGAUCGUUAGGGAGCAGGGACAGCGCUGGAGGUGACCAGAGACACGGCAAGGAUAACAAACCCCGCCUGGCGAGGGUCUGAUGGAUCAGAGCCUUUAAGGAGAGCUUAAAAAAUAAAAAUAAAAAUAAAACCACCUCUGCAUCA